Molecule: long non-coding RNA, 2260 nt
Organism: Solanum stenotomum
Lineage: Eukaryota; Viridiplantae; Streptophyta; Magnoliopsida; Solanales; Solanaceae
Exons: 3
Source: RefSeq, a predicted model, not a curated record
UAAAAUAUUGUUUUGUAAUGAGAAUCAAUAAUCAUUUUACUCUGUUAUGUGAUUUGCUUAUCAACUUUCAUCAUAUCUACAAUUUCUCAAUUUUUUUCAAAUUAACUAAUACAGUAAACUCGAUCAAUGGUAUUUCCUCUUCCUUCAAAUUUGAUUCGCAACAGUCAUAUGUAUAAAUGGGGAAACUAGAGAUGUCUGAUUGAUAUUGCUUAUUCGAAUUGUUAUUUCAUCUUAGUCAAUCAAGACAUGGUUAGUAGCAUAGGUUACUUGAUUUGACGAAAGGAUUAUGGAAAUUUGCAUAUAUCUUUAUGUUUCUCUUUUUAUGCUCUCACGAAUAUGCUGCUGAUCGAGAAGAAUAUUUUCUUUCCAUAUCUUUACAUUGGCUGAUCAGCCCUCUUUACUAUAUAAUAAGGACUUCGAUCUCAUUCUUUUCUCAUGCUUGUGAUCACUAAAAACAGCUCUUGAACUCUCUUUCUCUCUAAAGGAAAAAAGACAGCCCAUGGAGCUCUCUCUUCACGAAUAACUAGCAGUCCUACUCUUUCAUCAAAAUAUUAUUUAAGAUUUCAUCUUUUUCUUUUCAAUGACUGAUCACUGGUGAAAGACUCUGGAAUUCUCUUCUCCAUUACAAUAUAACUAGAACCUCUUAAUCGGAGGACACUUCUCUUCUUGAAUACUGAUAAACCGAAUCGUCUUUUCUAUGUUCUCUUGUUCUUUGUUGAUAGUUGUAUACCAAUUUUGGCUAUUGAUGCUCGGAUUGCUUGUUGUUGUUUCUGGAUUGUUACUUCCUUACAGGUUAGUUUCUAUCGAAGUACUCUUCAUGCUUAAUGUGGUAGUUGUAUUUUUCAUUCUCUUGUCGCAUCAAAUAUUUGUUUUGGAAAACUCGAAUGUUUUAAGCAUUUCGGGAGAAGCAAACAAGCAUGUCCUUUUAUUUUUAAUGCACUUUGAUAAGUUUUCGGAAACUUAGUGCAUUAGAAAACAUGUUUAUACGAUUUACUCAUAAUUUAACUUCAAAGCUUGUUGCUCUUUUUCUUGUUUGUUUGAAAUCAUGAUUAUCAUAAUAUACAACUUAAUUGCAGCAAAAUACCUUUGUGGUUCACUUCCCAGUCUACUAACCAAAUAAUUGUAUACUGUGGUAGCUAAGAGUAUUUCUUAAUGUUCCAGAAAAUAUGUUAUGCUCUAUUUUCCAAGAUUGGUGUGAAAUUUGUACUUCACAUUUUGUGGUGCUUAACAAGGCCGUUAUGGAAGUGGGCUUAUUAGUGCUUCCGUCUCUAUGCUAUUGUGUGUGCGUGUGCAUUUCUUUUGUGUGAACAGGGCAUUAGUUCGAUAUCGGGGGCAUUGAAGAGUUGUCUGGGACUUGGAAGUUUUCAAGGAUCGUCUAGUCAAAGCCUACUCGUCUCGAAUUCAUUGUCUUUUCCAUUUCACUAGUAGGUUAGCAAUUAAUUCCUCUACUCACAUUUUCACGUAGCUGCUAUGAUUCGUUGAUGUUGUUCUCUAUGUGAUGCCUGGUUGACUGCAUUUUGUUCAGUUAGCUCAAAAUUCAGAUAUGGCAAUCUUGAUUUUCAAAUGUUUCACUUGUAUUCUUGACUGCCAACAGGUAUAUAUUUCCCCCCUUUUUCUUGCCUUUUUGAGAUACUUUUUUGUUGCAAUUUUAUUAUUCUAUUUCUUCUGAUUCAUGUGUUUAUUGUACCCUUUGAAUUGUCGAUCUCAUUUUAAAAACUUGUCUUUAGGAUUCUUUAGAGGUAUAUUGGUUGAAAGUAUUUGGAUAUGGAGAGUUUUGUAUAGAGGUUCCAUUUGAGAUUUUUUAUUUUGAAGUCGAUCUGGCCUCCUAAUAUUUUUCUUGAUGUUGAUUAGCAGAUAAUUCCUCUAUUUACAUUUUUUCGUGCCUUUAGCUAUGAUUCGUCCCCAUGUUGUUCUCUUCGUGAUGCUUGAUAAGUGAGCUUUUCUCAUCUUUUCAUUUUUUUUCUUAAACUGUGUGACCUACAAUAAGAAUAAUGUUUUCCUUUCUUUUAAUUCUGCACUUAAAAAUAUCGAUUUUUGUACGCUAGAAGUAGUAUCCUAAGCUUAAAAUACCACAUAUUGCACAUCAACCAAUCCUAGAAGUGUAAAAUUGAAAUUGGGCUUGGAUUUGAUCUGCAUAUUGUGUUGCUUAUUUGAUUCUUGUAGUUGCUUGUGUAUUGUCUAUUCUAUAUGUGUUUGCAUUUUGAUUCUUCAGUUCUUGUAUGUUUGUAGUUUGGUGCAUCAUUUGUAUGAUUCAUAUAUA